RNAcentral lists this transfer RNA (72 nucleotides) under Polymastia littoralis. RNAcentral describes it as "tRNA-Met". It matches the Rfam family "tRNA". From Rfam's summary of the family: Transfer RNA (tRNA) molecules are approximately 80 nucleotides in length. Lineage: Eukaryota; Metazoa; Porifera; Demospongiae; Polymastiida; Polymastiidae. The record is from RNAcentral.
GGUGAUAUAGUUUAAAGGGAAAAUAAUUAUUUCAUACGUAAUAAGAUAGAGGUUCAAUUCCUCUUUUCACCU